This 378-nucleotide unclassified non-coding RNA is filed under the name soil metagenome. Its description in RNAcentral is "partial contains 5.8S ribosomal RNA, internal transcribed spacer 2, and large subunit ribosomal RNA". The stretch from base 1 to 120 matches the Rfam family "5.8S ribosomal RNA", at positions 35 to 154 of the family's 154-position model. The record is from RNAcentral.
GAUGAAGAACGUAGCGAAAUGCGAUAAGUAAUGUGAAUUGCAGAAUUCAGUGAAUCAUCGAAUCUUUGAACGCACCUUGCACCCUUUGGCAUUCUGAAGGGUAUGCUCGUUUGAGUGUCAUUGUACUCUCACACUCCCGAUCUUUGCAUUGGGAGCAGUGGACUUGGGUUUGCUGCUUCACCGUCGCUUACCUCAAAUAGGUUAGUGCAACUCUUGGUUGGACAUAGUACGGCGUGAUAAGUGUUCUUCGCCGGUGCCUCGCAAAGAGGGUGGCCGAUCGGGAUGUUGUGCUCCAAACCGUCUUCGGACAAUCUCUGACGACUUGACCUCAAAUCGAGUAAGACUACCCGCUGAACUUAAGCAUAUCAAUAAGGAGGA